Molecule: small nuclear RNA, 102 nt
Filed under: Myotis brandtii (Brandt's bat)
Lineage: Eukaryota; Metazoa; Chordata; Mammalia; Chiroptera; Vespertilionidae
Source: RNAcentral
GUGCUCCCUUUGGCAGCACAUAUACUAAAAAACUGGAACCAUACAGAGAAGAUUAGAAUGCACAAGGAUGACAUGCAAAUUCGUGAAGCGUUCCAUAUUAAA